Molecule: ribosomal RNA, 250 nt
Filed under: uncultured bacterium
Lineage: Bacteria
Description: partial 16S ribosomal RNA
Rfam family: Bacterial small subunit ribosomal RNA
Source: RNAcentral
UACGUAGGGGGCGAGCGUUGUCCGGAAUCAUUGGGCGUAAAGCGCGUGUAGGCGGCUUGGUCAGUCUGGUGUGAAAACUCGGGGCUUAACCCCUAGCCUGCACUGGAUACUGCCAAGCUUGAGUCCGGGAGGGGAGAGCGGAAUUCCUAGUGUAGCGGUGAAAUGCGCAGAUAUUAGGAAGAACACCGGUGGCGAAGGCGGCUCUCUGGAACGGUACUGACGCUGAGACGCGAAAGCGUGGGGAGCGAAC